CUGGGAAAGGAGCAUAGCUCAGUGGUACAGCUUCUGCUUUGCGUGCUGAUGGUCUCAGGUUCAAUCUCCAGCAUUUCCAGG
Non-coding RNA from Podarcis lilfordi (Lilford's wall lizard), 81 nucleotides. Lineage: Eukaryota; Metazoa; Chordata; Lepidosauria; Squamata; Lacertidae. The record is from the annotation of a GenBank genome assembly.